This 376-nucleotide ribosomal RNA is filed under the name uncultured bacterium. Its description in RNAcentral is "bacterial SSU rRNA". It matches the Rfam family "Bacterial small subunit ribosomal RNA", at positions 524 to 898 of the family's 1533-position model. The record is from RNAcentral.
UACGGGGGGGGCUAGCGUUGUUCGGAAUUACUGGGCGUAAAGGGCGCGUAGGCGGUCUGCUAAGUUGGAUGUGAAAACUCUGGGCUUAACCCAGAGCCUGCAUUCAAUACUGACAGGCUAGAGUUCUGGAGGGGAUAGCGGAAUUCCUGGUGUAGCGGUGAAAUGCGUAGAUAUCAGGAGGAACACCGGUGGCGAAGGCGGCUAUCUGGACAGAGUCUGACGCUGAGGCGCGAAAGCUAGGGGAGCAAACAGGAUUAGAUACCCUGGUAGUCCUAGCCCUAAACGAUGGAUACUUGGUGUAACUGGGAUUGAAUCCAGUUGUGCCGAAGCUAACGCAUUAAGUAUCCCGCCUGGGGAGUACGGUCGCAAGGCUGAA